RNAcentral lists this ribosomal RNA (252 nucleotides) under uncultured bacterium. RNAcentral describes it as "partial 16S rRNA". It matches the Rfam family "Bacterial small subunit ribosomal RNA", at positions 505 to 756 of the family's 1533-position model. The record is from RNAcentral.
GUGCCAGCCGCCGCGGUAAUACGGAGGAUCCGAGCGUUAUCCGGAUUUAUUGGGUUUAAAGGGAGCGUAGGCGGAUGUUUAAGUCAGUUGUGAAAGUUUAAGGCUCAACCUUGAAAUUGCAGUUGAUACUGGACGUCUUGAGUGCAUUAAAUGUGGGGGGAGUUCGUGGUGUAGCGGUGAUAUGAUUAGAUAUAAAGAAGAACUCCAAUUGAGAAGGCAGCUCACAGGACUGUAACUGACGCUGAUGCUCGA